This 446-nucleotide ribosomal RNA is filed under the name uncultured bacterium. RNAcentral describes it as "partial 16S ribosomal RNA". It matches the Rfam family "Bacterial small subunit ribosomal RNA", at positions 338 to 795 of the family's 1533-position model. The record is from RNAcentral.
CCUACGGGAGGCAGCAGUAGGGAAUUUUCGGCAAUGGGGGGAACCCUGACCGAGCAACGCCGCGUGAACGAAGAAGUUAUUCGUAAUGUAAAGUUCUUUUAACAGGGAAGAAAGAGAAAUUUGACGGUACCUGAAGAAUAAGCUCCGGCUAACUACGUGCCAGCAGCCGCGGUAAUACGUAGGGAGCGAGCGUUAUCGGGAAUUAUUGGGCGAAAAGGGUGCGUAGAUGGCAUAGUAAGUCUUUUGGAAAAAUGCUGGGCUCAACCCAGUAGGGCAAAAGAUACUGCAAAGCUAGAGUAUGACAGAGGCAAGUGGAACUACAUGUGUAGCGGUAAAAUGCGUAAAGAUAUGUAAGAACACCAGUGGCGAAGGCGGCUUGCUGGGUCGAUACUGACAUUGAGGCACGAAAGCGUGGGGAGCAAACAGGAUUAGAUACCCUAGUAGUC